GGGUUGUGAGGUUAAGCGACUAAGCGUACACGGUGGAUGCCCUGGCAGUCAGAGGCGAUGAAGGACGUGCUAAUCUGCGAUAAGCGUCGGUAAGGUGAUAUGAACCGUUAUAACCGGCGAUUUCCGAAUGGGGAAACCCAGUGUGAUUCGUCACACUAUCAUUAACUGAAUCCAUAGGUUAAUGAGGCGAACCGGGGGAACUGAAACAUCUAAGUACCCCGAGGAAAAGAAAUCAACCGAGAUUCCCCCAGUAGCGGCGAGCGAACGGGGAGGAGCCCAGAGCCUGAAUCAGUGUGUGUGUUAGUGGAAGCGUCUGGAAAGGCGCGCGAUACAGGGUGACAGCCCCGUACACAAAAAUGCACAUGCUGUGAGCUCGAUGAGUAGGGCGGGACACGUGGUAUCCUGUCUGAAUAUGGGGGGACCAUCCUCCAAGGCUAAAUACUCCUGACUGACCGAUAGUGAACCAGUACCGUGAGGGAAAGGCGAAAAGAACCCCGGCGAGGGGAGUGAAAAAGAACCUGAAACCGUGUACGUACAAGCAGUGGGAGCACAGAGCAAUCUGUGUGACUGCGUACCUUUUGUAUAAUGGGUCAGCGACUUAUAUUCUGUAGCAAGGUUAACCGAAUAGGGGAGCCGAAGGGAAACCGAGUCUUAACUGGGCGUUAAGUUGCAGGGUAUAGACCCGAAACCCGGUGAUCUAGCCAUGGGCAGGUUGAAGGUUGGGUAACACUAACUGGAGGACCGAACCGACUAAUGUUGAAAAAUUAGCGGAUGACUUGUGGCUGGGGGUGAAAGGCCAAUCAAACCGGGAGAUAGCUGGUUCUCCCCGAAAGCUAUUUAGGUAGCGCCUCGUGAAUUCAUCUCCGGGGGUAGAGCACUGUUUCGGCAAGGGGGUCAUCCCGACUUACCAACCCGAUGCAAACUGCGAAUACCGGAGAAUGUUAUCACGGGAGACACACGGCGGGUGCUAACGUCCGUCGUGAAGAGGGAAACAACCCAGACCGCCAGCUAAGGUCCCAAAGUCAUGGUUAAGUGGGAAACGAUGUGGGAAGGCCCAGACAGCCAGGAUGUUGGCUUAGAAGCAGCCAUCAUUUAAAGAAAGCGUAAUAGCUCACUGGUCGAGUCGGCCUGCGCGGAAGAUGUAACGGGGCUAAACCAUGCACCGAAGCUGCGGCAGCGACGCUGAUGCGUUGUUGGGUAGGGGAGCGUUCUGUAAGCCUGUGAAGGUGUGCUGUGAGGCAUGCUGGAGGUAUCAGAAGUGCGAAUGCUGACAUAAGUAACGAUAAAGCGGGUGAAAAGCCCGCUCGCCGGAAGACCAAGGGUUCCUGUCCAACGUUAAUCGGGGCAGGGUGAGUCGACCCCUAAGGCGAGGCCGAAAGGCGUAGUCGAUGGGAAACAGGUUAAUAUUCCUGUACUUGGUGUUACUGCGAAGGGGGGACGGAGAAGGCUAUGUUGGCCGGGCGACGGUUGUCCCGGUUUAAGCGUGUAGGCUGGUUUUCCAGGCAAAUCCGGAAAACUAAGGCUGAGGCGUGAUGACGAGGCACUACGGUGCUGAAGCAACAAAUGCCCUGCUUCCAGGAAAAGCCUCUAAGCAUCAGGUAACAUCAAAUCGUACCCCAAACCGACACAGGUGGUCAGGUAGAGAAUACCAAGGCGCUUGAGAGAACUCGGGUGAAGGAACUAGGCAAAAUGGUGCCGUAACUUCGGGAGAAGGCACGCUGAUAUGUAGGUGAAGUCCCUCGCGGAUGGAGCUGAAAUCAGUCGAAGAUACCAGCUGGCUGCAACUGUUUAUUAAAAACACAGCACUGUGCAAACACGAAAGUGGACGUAUACGGUGUGACGCCUGCCCGGUGCCGGAAGGUUAAUUGAUGGGGUCAGCGCAAGCGAAGCUCUUGAUCGAAGCCCCGGUAAACGGCGGCCGUAACUAUAACGGUCCUAAGGUAGCGAAAUUCCUUGUCGGGUAAGUUCCGACCUGCACGAAUGGCGUAAUGAUGGCCAGGCUGUCUCCACCCGAGACUCAGUGAAAUUGAACUCGCUGUGAAGAUGCAGUGUACCCGCGGCAAGACGGAAAGACCCCGUGAACCUUUACUAUAGCUUGACACUGAACAUUGAGCCUUGAUGUGUAGGAUAGGUGGGAGGCUUUGAAGUGUGGACGCCAGUCUGCAUGGAGCCGACCUUGAAAUACCACCCUUUAAUGUUUGAUGUUCUAACGUUGACCCGUAAUCCGGGUUGCGGACAGUGUCUGGUGGGUAGUUUGACUGGGGCGGUCUCCUCCUAAAGAGUAACGGAGGAGCACGAAGGUUGGCUAAUCCUGGUCGGACAUCAGGAGGUUAGUGCAAUGGCAUAAGCCAGCUUGACUGCGAGCGUGACGGCGCGAGCAGGUGCGAAAGCAGGUCAUAGUGAUCCGGUGGUUCUGAAUGGAAGGGCCAUCGCUCAACGGAUAAAAGGUACUCCGGGGAUAACAGGCUGAUACCGCCCAAGAGUUCAUAUCGACGGCGGUGUUUGGCACCUCGAUGUCGGCUCAUCACAUCCUGGGGCUGAAGUAGGUCCCAAGGGUAUGGCUGUUCGCCAUUUAAAGUGGUACGCGAGCUGGGUUUAGAACGUCGUGAGACAGUUCGGUCCCUAUCUGCCGUGGGCGCUGGAGAACUGAGGGGGGCUGCUCCUAGUACGAGAGGACCGGAGUGGACGCAUCACUGGUGUUCGGGUUGUCAUGCCAAUGGCACUGCCCGGUAGCUAAAUGCGGAAGAGAUAAGUGCUGAAAGCAUCUAAGCACGAAACUUGCCCCGAGAUGAGUUCUCCCUGACUCCUUGAGAGUCCUGAAGGAACGUUGAAGACGACGACGUUGAUAGGCCGGAUGUGUAAGCGCAGCGAUGCGUUGAGCUAACCGGUACUAAUGAACCGUGAGGCUUAACCUUACAACGCCGA
Molecule: ribosomal RNA, 2925 nt
Filed under: Escherichia coli
Lineage: Bacteria; Pseudomonadati; Pseudomonadota; Gammaproteobacteria; Enterobacterales; Enterobacteriaceae
Description: bacterial LSU rRNA
Rfam family: Bacterial large subunit ribosomal RNA
Source: RNAcentral